GCCCAUUCAGUCCCAAGAAGCUUGGCAAAGCCCAACUAAGAUGAUGCCUACAGAUUCCAAACUAGUUUUCACUCAUAUGAAUUUGUGUUAUUUUUGUUAUGUGAUAAUCCCACGCUUAUACAACUUAUCACCACCUUCUACUGGAGAAUAAUUAGUAGCAGGUUGCCUUGUUACAUUAGGACCUGUCUCUGAUGUAACAACUGCUUUGGGAUUCCAAUACCAGGGCUCAAGAUAAGGUGAAGAAAUUGAUGAUGAAAAAGAAGAAGGAUCAAGUAUCACUGAACCCCAAUCUCUGCUUCCAAGUUUUGCUUCUUUUAAUCUCCUCCUAAUCAGUAAGUUUCCCACAUCUUCCUUUCUCAUUUCUGAUACACUUCUAAGGAUUGAAAUGCACAGUAGAAUUGCCAGAACUGCAUCCUCUUC
RNAcentral lists this unclassified non-coding RNA (420 nucleotides) under Hevea brasiliensis (rubber tree). Lineage: Eukaryota; Viridiplantae; Streptophyta; Magnoliopsida; Malpighiales; Euphorbiaceae. The record is from RNAcentral.